RNAcentral lists this ribosomal RNA (553 nucleotides) under Hemiuridae sp. BOLD:ACC6098. RNAcentral describes it as "bacterial SSU rRNA". It matches the Rfam family "Eukaryotic small subunit ribosomal RNA", at positions 35 to 576 of the family's 1831-position model. The record is from RNAcentral. Lineage: Eukaryota; Metazoa; Platyhelminthes; Trematoda; Azygiida; Hemiuridae.
UCUCAGAGAUUAAGCCAUGCAUGUCUAAGUACAGACCUUAAAACGGUGAAACCGCGAAUGGCUCAUUAAAUCAGCUAUUGUUCAUUGGAUCGUAAAAUGCUACAUGGAUAACUGUAGUAAUUCUAGAGCUAAUACAUGCCACAAUGCCCUAGGCCUCUGGCUCUGGGUGGAUUUAUUAGAACAAAACCAAUCGGUAGCUUCGGCUGCCGUUAAUUGGUGAUGACUCUGGAUAACUUUACUGAUCGCAUUGUCGUAAGACGGCGACGGAUCCUUCAAAUGGCUGCCCUAUCACACUUUCGAUGGUAGGUGACCUGCCUACCAUGGUGCUGACGGGUAACGGGGAAUCAGGGUUCGAUUCCGGAGAGGGAGCCUGAGAAAUGGCUACCACGUCCAAGGAAGGCAGCAGGCGCGCAAAUUACCCAAUCCCAGAACGGGGAGGUAGUGACGAAAAAUACGGAGACGGGACCUAUCCUAGGCCUCCGACAUCUGAAUGAGUACAUUUUAAAGCCUUUAACGAGGAACAACUGGAGGGCAAGCCUGGUGCCAGCAGCCG